GCAUCUUCUUGGGUUAAAAACUCCGGUGGUUAAAGAUGGGCAUGCGUUGUAUUAGCUAGUUGGUGAGGUAACGGCUCACCAAGGCAACGAUACAUAGGGGGACUGAGAGGUUAACCCCCCACAUUGGUACUGAGACACGGACCAAACUCCUACGGGAGGCAGCAGUGAGGAAUAUUGGUCAAUGGACGCAAGUCUGAACCAGCCAUGCCGCGUGCAGGAAGACGGCUCUAUGAGUUGUAAACUGCUUUUGUACUAGGGUAAACGCUUCUACGUGUAGGAGCCUGAAAGUAUAGUACGAAUAAGGAUCGGCUAACUCCGUGCCAGCAGCCGCGGUAAUACGGAGGAUCCAAGCGUUAUCCGGAUUUAUUGGGUUUAAAGGGUGCGUAGGCGGUUUGAUAAGUUAGAGGUGAAAUACCGGGGCUCAACUCCGGAACUGCCUCUAAUACUGUUGAACUAGAGAGUAGUUGCGGUAGGCGGAAUGUAUGGUGUAGCGGUGAAAUGCUUAGAGAUCAUACAGAACACCGAUUGCGAAGGCAGCUUACCAAACUAUAUCUGACGUUGAGGCACGAAAGCGUGGGGAGCAAACAGGAUUAGAUACCCUGGUAGUCCACGCAGUAAACGAUG
Molecule: ribosomal RNA, 624 nt
Filed under: uncultured bacterium
Lineage: Bacteria
Description: bacterial SSU rRNA
Rfam family: Bacterial small subunit ribosomal RNA
Source: RNAcentral